ACUGUAAGACAGUAAGACUAUCGUUGCGAUCAACAAAGACCCGGAGGCUCCCAUUUUCCAGGUGGCUGACUACGGUUUGGUAGCUGAUCUUUUCAAGGCUGUUCCUGAGAUGACUGAAGCUUUGAGUAAGUGAUGAGAAACAGCUGUUACCCAGGACACUUCCCUGACGGUUACCACAGCAUCUAAAUAAAACUCUUGGACAUUUGAAUAAUUCCUGUUUUUUGUAAUUACCAUAACUCCAUAUGAAUCAGUGAAUAUUUAAGAACUUACCUCUGUGCCUUCUGUUGUGCACAUGUAGUAAUUUAUACUUUAUAUUAGCAUACAGUGAACUGGAUCAUGGGUGUUUUUAUCACGUCUACAGAUCUGUGACUAAUGUACAGUAGUUGGCUGUAAGAUCUUUCAGGUCUUUAUACACAUUCUUGAGAUAGCUAAUUGAAAAUAAAUGGACAAGUAGAAACAA
Long non-coding RNA from Cynoglossus semilaevis (tongue sole), 460 nucleotides. RefSeq lists it as uncharacterized. NCBI's taxonomy places the organism in Eukaryota, Metazoa, Chordata, Actinopteri, Pleuronectiformes, Cynoglossidae. The record is from RefSeq and is a predicted model, not a curated record. The transcript has 3 exons.